AGCGGCAGGCUUAACACAUGCAAGUCGAGGGGUAACAGAAUAGCUUGCUAUUGCUGACGACCGGCGCACGGGUGCGUAACGCGUAUACAAUCUACCUUACACAGGAGAAUAGCCCUAAGAAAUUGGGAUUAAUGCUCCAUAGCAAUAUUAAAUCGCAUGAUUUAAUAUUUAAAGCUUCGGUGGUGUAAGAUGAGUAUGCGUCCUAUUAGUUAGUUGGUAAGGUAACGGCUUACCAAGACAGCGAUAGGUAGGGGGCCUGAGAGGGUUAUCCCCCACACUGGUACUGAGACACGGACCAGACUCCUACGGGAGGCAGCAGUGAGGAAUAUUGGUCAAUGGAGGCAACUCUGAACCAGCCAUGCCGCGUGAAGGAAGGAUGUCCUACGGAUUGUAAACUUCUUUUAUUUGGGAAGAAACCUCUGGUCGAGAACCAGGGCUGACGGUACCAAAAGAAUAAGGACCGGCUAACUCCGUGCCAGCAGCCGCGGUAAUACGGAGGGUCCAAGCGUUAUCCGGAAUCAUUGGGUUUAAAGGGUUCGCAGGCUGUUUAAUAAGUCAGUGGUGAAAUCUCGAGGCUCAACCUCGAAACUGCCAUUGAUACUGUUAGACUUGGAUACAGUUGGAGUAGGCGGAAUGUGUAGUGUAGCGGUGAAAUGCUUAGAUAUUACACAGAACACCGAUAGCGAAGGCAGCUUACUAAACUGUGAUUGACGCUCAUGAACGAAAGCGUGGGGAGCGAACAGGAUUAGAUACCCU
Molecule: ribosomal RNA, 756 nt
Filed under: uncultured Bacteroidota bacterium
Lineage: Bacteria; Pseudomonadati; Bacteroidota
Description: bacterial SSU rRNA
Rfam family: Bacterial small subunit ribosomal RNA
Source: RNAcentral